GAACGCUGGCGGCGUGGAUAAGACAUGCAAGUCGAACGGGAUAAUCUUGUAGCAAUACCGGGUUGUUCCCUGGCGAACGGGUGCGUAACACGUGGAUUACAUACCGGAAAGCGAGGAAUAGCCCAGGGAAACUUGGAUUAAUACCUCAUGUGGUCGCAAGACUAAAGGCGGGGCAACCUGUCGCUUUCUGAUUGGUGCC
RNAcentral lists this ribosomal RNA (199 nucleotides) under uncultured bacterium. RNAcentral's name for it is "partial 16S ribosomal RNA". It matches the Rfam family "Bacterial small subunit ribosomal RNA", at positions 31 to 232 of the family's 1533-position model. The record is from RNAcentral.